Tetranychus urticae (two-spotted spider mite) is the source of this 1303-nucleotide long non-coding RNA. RefSeq lists it as uncharacterized. Lineage: Eukaryota; Metazoa; Arthropoda; Arachnida; Trombidiformes; Tetranychidae. The record is from RefSeq and is a predicted model, not a curated record.
AAACAAGACAACCUUGAGAAACUUGAUUUUUCAACCCUUUUCGGUAAUCACUAUUGCAUUUGUUUUCAUCGUUGAUCAGUUAAUUAUUGUGUUAUAAACUAGCUAAUAGUUGUCAAGGUUUGGUAAACAUUUAUUUAUUUAACAUGAAUCAGAAGAGCCAAUAUAAACUGUGAGACAACGAAAACAAAAUAAUAAAAAAUUUGCUUUAUUUUGCUAAUUUAGAUCAAAUAUAUUAAAAUUAAUUACAUAUUUGUAUACCAAAAGUUAACACAUUAAUAAAAAUUGAGAUUGUGUUGUGAUGAGUAAUAAGAGAUGGCGCUUGAACAAUUUAAAUUCGAAAUUGUAUUGUUCGAAUUCGAAUUGCCUUUUAAAUUAGAAUUAAAAUGUUCAUUCAAGUUUCUAACUUUUUAAACUGUUCCUUCUUAAUUCCAUCGAGUUGAUUAUUAAAUUUUAUUUGAAAUGGUUUUUCAAAAUCAAGUUGAAGUUAUUAAUAUUGAUUUUUCCGAUGAAAGUUUGGACCAAUCUGAAAUUGUUUUUCAAUCGGUUAACAAAUUAAUAAGUGAAAUUGAAAAAGAAGUGAUUGAGAUUUCUGAUGAUGACAGUAAUCAUGAAGAUGUGCAAUCAACUGUGUCCCAGUGUUUGAAUAAACUUUUAAAUGAAAUUUCCUUUGAAGCGAUUGAUAUUCCCGAUGACGAUGGCAAAAGAUCACAGGAAAUUUCAGAUAAUCAAGACAGCCAAGAAAUUAAAGUUGUUUCUCCCUGUUGUGUCUCGAUUGGUUCCCAAACAUCGGAAUCUUCUGAUGAUUAUGAGAUCCAGACAACACAAUUGGGUCCACGAGUGGUCUUUGAUGAGGACAGUGUAAGAUAUUUACAAAAGAGAAGAACAGAAUUGAUGAAAAUGAAACUUUGGAAAAAAAAGUGGAAUAAAAUGUGUCGAAAUGAAAAAAGAAAAGAACGAAAACACAAGUCAAAGUCCAAACAUCGCCAUAUUAACCGGAUAAAUCCAUUUAUAUCUUAAGACGAGGAAAUAUUUUCCAAUAUGUGACUCAAAUUGUUAAUAAAAUCUUGGCAUAGUCGGUGAUCCAGCACUUCUAAAGUUGGCCAAGUUUGACUAUCAAAUAAACGAAUAUACAACGAAUUAUAUGAAACAUCAAAAAUCCAUGUACAUAAAUCAGAAAUUUUCAAUAAGUAAUUACAGAAAUGAUGUUAGUUAGAAACAAGUCCAAACCUUUUUAAUUUGAUAGACUUCAAAUGAUUUUGUAAUAUUACAAAUUAUCAACAAUAAAAUUGUUGUUUCCAAUUAA